GCCCCUAUGGCUCAGUGGUAAAGCGUCUCACUCGUAUCGUCUCUGUGCCAAUGAGAAGAUCAUCAGUUCGAUUCUGAUUGGGGGCA
Non-coding RNA from Aulographum hederae CBS 113979, 86 nucleotides. Lineage: Eukaryota; Fungi; Ascomycota; Dothideomycetes; Aulographales; Aulographaceae. The record is from the annotation of a GenBank genome assembly.